This 2088-nucleotide long non-coding RNA is filed under the name Podarcis lilfordi (Lilford's wall lizard). The record is from RNAcentral. Lineage: Eukaryota; Metazoa; Chordata; Lepidosauria; Squamata; Lacertidae.
CGCCUGCGGUUCCUGCGCAAUGUUUGCCAUCUUGCCAAAGGUUGCAGGCAGCUUUACCUGCAGCAAUUGCAUGUUGAUUGCCCUCUUAGAAGACAAAGUCCAGCAACUGGAGGAACGUGUAGCUACGCUCCAAAGAAUUAGAGAGCUGGAGCUCUUCUUGGAAGCAACAGAGCACACCGUCUCCACCAAGGAGGAGACAGGGGACUCCCCUGAGAAGGAGGCUAGUUCACCAACACAGGAGCCAGAUAUAUGGAGAAACGUGACUCAAAGAAGUAGGAGGCCCAGGGUUCGCUCUGAUUGUUUAGAAAUACACAAUCGCUUUGAGGUCCUCUCCCCUAGCAUGGAAGACGAAGAGCAGACUCCAUUUGAGGAUCUCUCCCUCAUUACAGUCGAUCAGGUAUAUGAAGACGAGCAGCAAAGUCAGUCCUCAGGGAAUGUGCAGGCGACCUUGGAACGGACAGCUCACGGAAGAACCCCGACCAAACCUAAGAGGAGGCGUGUAGUGGUGAUAGGGGAUUCCCUACUGAGGGGAACAGAAGCAGUGAUCUGUGGGCCUAACAAGAUGUCUCGGGAAGUGUGCUGUCUCCCCGGGGCUAAGAUCCAAGAUGUAACUGAACGAAUGCAAGGAAUCAUAAAACCCACUGACAAAUACCCCCUCCUCUUGGUUCAUGUGGGAACCAAUGACACUGCAAGCAAUAGCCUCCAGAAGAUCAAAAGAGACUACGAGGCUCUGGGCAGGAAACUGAAGCAAUUAAAUGCACAAAUUGUCAUCUCAUCUGUCCUCCCAGUUGAACAGACGUGGCCCAGGGAGAGAGGGAAAAAUAGUGGAAGUGAACAGCUGGCUUCGCAAAUGGUGUAAACAGGAACGGUUUGGAUUCUUAGAUCACGGACUGCAGUUUCUUGAAGAUGGACUUCUGGCAAGCGAUGGGCUGCACCUCACAACGGUUGGGAGGAAUGUUUUUGCCAAAAAUCUCAGAAACCUCAUCAGGAGGGCUUUAAACUGACUAAUGUGGGGAAGGGAGACAGUGCUCCUGAAGGUAGGAGUCUAUCAGUUGAUGAAGAUGAUCAUCCAAAUGUCAUAGACCAAAUGGAGCAAACAGCAUGCAGACCUAGUGGUGGGAGGAAAAAAAUCCUUAAAUAAGAGUCACGGGGGAAUGAUUAAUGGACUUCAAUGUCUGUACACUAAUGCGCAAAGCAUGGGAAAUAAACAAGAUGAGCUUGAGCUCUUGGUACAGCAAACUAAAUAUGACAUAAUAGGCAUCACUGAAACCUGGUGGGAUAAGUCCCACGAUUGGAAUGUAAUAAUGGAGGGAUACAAUCUAUUUCAGAGAAACAGACCAGACAAGAAAGGAGGAGGAGUGGCGUUAUAUGUCAGGGAUGUGUAUACCUGUGAAGAGAUCCAAGAUUUAGAACCUCAAAGCCAAAGUGAGAGCAUUUGGGUCAAAAUUAAGGGAGAGAAGAAUAACAGUGACCUCAUUGUGGGAGUUUACUAUAGAUCCCCAAGCCAAACGGAGGACAUAGAUGAUGCCUUCCUGGAACAGAUGGCCAAGCAUGCAAAAGGAAGGAGAUAGUAGUAAUGGGGGACUUCAAUUACCCGGAUAUUUGUUGGAUGUCAAACUCAGCCAAGAGCAUAAGGUCAAACAGAUUCCUCACUGGCCUUGCAGACAACUUCAUUGUCCAGAAAGUGGGAGAAGCAACAAGAGGAACAGCCAUUUUAGAUCUGGUCCUAACCAAUGUUGAUGACCUGGUUAGUGGGGUAGAAGUGGAAGGAUCAUUAGGCGCGAGUGAUCAUGCUCUUCUGAAGUUUACUAUACAGCGGAAAGGAGCAGCCAAGCAUACUAGGACUCAAUUUCUUGACUUUAAGAAAGCCGACUUCAUAAAACUUAGGGAAGUGCUGGGUGAGAUCCCAUGGACAGUAAUACUAAAAGGAAAGGGAGUUCAUGAUGGCUGGGAGUUUGUUAAGAGGGAGAUAGUAAAAGCACAACGUCAGGCAAUACCAAUGAGACGGAAACAUGGAAGGUGCCUAAAGAAGCCAGGGUGGCUAUCUAAAGAACUUUUAACUGAGUUAAGAUUAAAAAGGAUGUGUAC